This 687-nucleotide long non-coding RNA is filed under the name Brassica rapa (field mustard). RNAcentral's name for it is "long non-coding RNA (BRAP_LNC002574)". Lineage: Eukaryota; Viridiplantae; Streptophyta; Magnoliopsida; Brassicales; Brassicaceae. The record is from RNAcentral.
GAGAACAUAAAUAUACAAAUAAGAUACAACUUGAAUACAAAAGACAGCACCCUCUCAGAGACUUAACCCAAAAUUUCGUUUUAAUCAAUAGUUUAAUUACAAUCUAACAAAAAAAAUCCAUCAAUGUAAAAUUAUUUUAGCAUACAAUAUAUGAUAUCAUCUAAAAUACAUACACUUCAAAAGAGAAUAAAAACGAUUUUUAGAGAUAUUGCGUCUACACAUUUUAUCAAAUGCAAAUAAAAAGCGUAAAGCUUAUGAAAUAAUUCUACCAUUUUGAGCUUCGUGAUAAAAAGCGUAAAGCUUAUGAAUUUUAGUAAAUCCACCAUUUUGAGCUUCUUAUGAAUUUUAGUAAAUCCACACUUUUUACCGAGAAGAAGAAUUAAAUCUCUAUAUUCUCUACCUUCUUCGCCAAAUCAAUAACGGAAACUCACCUGUCACUGCAAACAAAAUAAGAAGGCUGAACACGAUACAGCGUGAUAAAAUAAGUUUCAGUGUUUUUAGGAAUUGUGAGGAUGAAAGUUCAGGGGAUGAAGACUGACCUUUUAUAGGUGGAUAUACACCGUCUCGAAGAGAAAUACGGAGAAUUUAAUGAUAAAAUUGUGCUUGUUGUGGGUUGAAGGAGUAAAGAUAGUUCUUAAUGGAGAUGAAUUGAUGAAUCCGGUAACGUUUGGACGAGAAGAAUAUCAG